This 5725-nucleotide long non-coding RNA is filed under the name Musa acuminata (dwarf banana). RNAcentral's name for it is "long non-coding RNA (MACU_LNC006557)". The record is from RNAcentral. Lineage: Eukaryota; Viridiplantae; Streptophyta; Magnoliopsida; Zingiberales; Musaceae.
GUUAAGUUGAGGUACAAUGGCUAGAUAGAGGAGCGACAAUGUGUCUAAUGUCAAUCGCUUAGCUAGACGAGCUUAACUUCAUGGACUAGGCGAAGCCUCACUCAUAAGUUGGGCUGAGCCUUACCACCAAAUUGGGUCAUGCUUGGCUCGUGAGUUGGUUGUACCUAGACACAUGAGUUGAGGUCAUAUCUGACCCACGUGAACUAGGUCGUACUUAGUAUUAGGAACGAGUCGGCACUAAGAGGGGAGGUUGAAUUAGUGCAGCGGUAAAAACAUUAGCUUAAAAAAUAUUUCGUUUAAUGAAAAUCGAUAUCAUAAAGAUACUUAACUUGAAAGUAUAUGAAAGCAUAAUGAAUAAGUAAAGCAAAUUGCAGUAUGCAAAUGGCAACAAUAGAAAUGCAAACCAGAGAAGAACACGUUAAUUUUAUAGUGGUUCGGUCGUCCGACCUACAUCCACUCCCGAUACCUCCUCCAAUAAGGUCAUCGGCUUCCACUAUUGAUCUUUCUUGAAGGGCAAAGAUCAAUCACCCCUUUACAGAACUUUCACAAGUGGCUCACUCUCCUUUUACAAACUUUUACACUUAGAAAUGAUGGAGGUGAACUCUCAACUUUUGCAAGUUAUUUCACUCAAGGUAUACAAUACCGUAUCGUACUGAUGUUUCGAGGUUGGAUCGGUACGGUACGGUACCGUACCGUGUACUGCUCGGUACACCAGCGUGUAUCGCUCGGUACACCAGGGCGUACCGAGUGGUUUUAAAUAGUUCUUCCUCUACUGUAGCAGUGCUACAGUAUAGCACUGUAGCACGUUCCGUCUGGUAGCGGGCGGUUCGCGUACUGGUAUGUCGUCGGAUCGGUACGUAUCGCUCGUACCGAGCGAUACUAUUCGAAAUUAUAUACCAUGAUUCCACUAUAGUAUGGGAUCAAUUCUUAUCACUGCUCUUUCUUUACCAGUUGAGAAGUAAGGGGUAUUUAUAGCCCUCAAUUGGCUUUAAAAUUGGAGCCAAAAAAUGUCUCAUCCCGGAUUUCCCGUGUCUUGGAGGUACCACCGUUUGUGCCGAGCAGUACCACCGCCUGCAGCACUGAUAUUGGGCGUGAACAAUCGCCCAAACUGGCGGUACUACUACUUGGGAGACUAUGUCUGGGCUGUACCACUGCCCAAACUGGCGGUUUCACUGCCUGACACUGACACUGGGCGGUACCACUACCCAGACUGGUGGUACCAUCACUUGACAGUCUAACACAAUCUCGGAGACUGUGCCACGACGGUGCCACCUAUUAGGUUACUGUUUGGGCCUUUCAUUAGGCCCAACACAGUCCAUACAUGGGGCCAACUAGCCUUAAUUGGGUUGGCCUAAUGCCAAUCCCAAUUAUGUGCUAACUACGAAAUUUAAGACAUACACUAAGUAAAUCUGGUCCGGUUAGUCUAGGUUUCUUCCGGCGAGCUUCCAACGAUCUUCCGACGAACUUCCGAUAAUCUCUCGACAAUGUUUCAGUAGACUCCCGGCAAGCUCCUGGAAUUCACGACGAUCUUCUUGGCGAGUUCCGACGAGCUUCUUUGGCAAGCUCCUGGACUUCUCAAUCAAUUUCGGUAGAACUUCCGACGAACGUCCAAACUUUUGACGAACUCUCGAACUCCCAACGAAAGCUCGUUCUUGACUCUAGGACUUCAUUUUGCUUUAUUCCUUAAUCGCUAUCGUAGUUAAUCCUGCACAAAUAAAACCUAAUUCGAUCUAGACAAUUAUUACAAAGCUUGAAUCAUAUUGUCCGGUAUGUCUUUGGUCCCCGACGCUUCUUCCGAUUCUUCGGCGCAUCAUCCUCUCUUGCGGCCUAUUGUCGAAUCAGUCAGUUGUCCUCCGUAACUCCGAUUUCCUCGGCAUAAUUUUCGCUCUUCUUGGCCCGAUGCCCGAACUCAUGGCCCGAAGCCUUCUGUCGAUACGUCAACCGAUCCUUCGGUUCGACGUCCAAUCUUCUAACAUCUUUUUCUCUGGCCUAACAUGAUUCUUCCUGCUUUAAUUGUCUCUCCCUGAUCGAAGCUACCUGCAUCACUCAAAACGCAUAUCAAAUCAUAAACACUAACAAUUGGUUUCAUCAUCAAAAUCCGAGAUUCAACAAUCUCCCCCUUUUUGAUGAUGACAACCAAUUGAUGACGGAGUUAACUUUAACUCCCCCUAUCAAUAUGUCAUAUUAAUAGAGGAUUCAAAAAUCCAAGCAACAUGUAUCAUAAUAAAAUCAUGCAUAACAUCAUACAUCUCCCCCUUUGUCAUCAACAAAAAGGAGAAGUGCAACUAUCAAGUGUUUAAGAUAUAAUAUCAAAUCAUUGUAUAAUUUCAAGUUUUUGAAACAUCAUAUAUCAUCGUAUAAUUUUAGGUUUUUGAAACAUCAUUGCACAUAUCAUUAUGCAAGCUAGUAAGAUAGUGAGUAUUGAACAUACAAGCUAGCAAGUUUUAGAGAUAUGUAGAGUUUAGCAUAUUUGCUUUUCUUUGUAAUGUUUAAGCUAGCAAGUUUUCGAAAAGGAAUACAAGAUAGCAUUUUUGUCUUUUGUUGAAGUGUGCAAGCUAGCAAUUCUUGCUUCCUUUUGCAAGUUGCAAGUUUUUCUCCUUACAAUUUGUAAGCUAGCAAAUUUAGCAAGUGAUACAUCAUAUUAGAAACUGUAAGCUAGCAAUAUUUGAGAUGUUCAAGAAAACAAGUUCUUUCUUCUCUUUUGAGAUGAGCAAACUAGUAAGUUUUGCUCCCCCUUUGUCAUUGUAAAAAAGAAGGGAUGGUUGCAAAACUUUUCCCAUUAUAUCAUUUUUCAAAUCAUCACAUGAAAUAUAUCAAGAAAAAUUAACUUGGUAAUGAGAUAUAUAAUUCAUGAAGACAAAUUGUGAAUAUCAAAAGAUAAAUUAUAAUUCUUUUAGAUAACUCAAAUAGCGAAAAGUAGACUCAUAGUAAAUGAUCUUAAUUCAUAAAAAAUCUCAUGUUAUAAUUCCAAGAAUUCAUAAGAAAAAAUCAUGAUUCAUUUGAUGAAAAGAUUAUCGAUUCAUGCAUUUGAAUAAAUAUUUUUAAACUAUUAUCACUUCAACUCAUCAAUUUGUCAAAUCAACAAUGUCACUUUCAAGAGAUUCAAAUGAAAUAAAGAGAUUUAUCAAUCUCUUGAAAUGUCAGUGAUUUCCUUUCUCCCCUUUAUCAUUGUAAACAAGAAAGAAGGGAAGAACAUAAUGGUGUAAAAUAUUUCAAUAAUUACAUGGCAUAAAAGCCAUAAAUACGAAGAAAUCAUGUCAUGAAAGAUAAGAUCAUGUGACUAUCAAAAGACAUGAUUCAUAUAGUAAAUCUUCUCUUUAAAAAAAUACUAAGAAAAAAUCGUAGGAGUACAAAAAAGAGAUCUUGAUUCAAAAAAAAAAAAUCUCAAGUAAUUCCAAGAAAUCAAGAUCAUGAUUUGGAUAAAACUCAUUUAAAUUCAAAUCAUCAAAAUCAUUUUCAUAGUCUAAGAGAUUCAUAAAAAUGAUACAAAUAGAUUCAUCAAUCUCUCUUUUUGAAAAAUCGAUAAGAUAGAGAAAAAGAAAUUUGCAAGAAAAAUAUUUUUCUCUUUUUAGUUGUUUUAAUUUAAGUGAUUGAUUUUAUAAAUGCAUGUCCUUGUCCUUUUCGUCAAAUCAAAACAUAUAUCAUCGUUUAAAAUCGAAAGAGCAAAUCUCAUCAUGGAAAUCAUCAAGAUCAAUAAACCAUAAAUUACCUAAAAAUCAUCAUUACUUCAAAUCAUCAUGUAUAAUUAAAUAUAAAAUCAUCAAGUAUGAUAGUUACAUUAUUUUAUAUAAACAUGCCUUUUUCAUUUAUGCCAAAUCAAAACAUGUAUCAUUUUUAAAACCGAAAAAACAACUUUCAUUAUGGUAAAAAUUGAUAAACCAUAAAUUAUGAGAAUCAUAAUGUAUAAUUUUGAAAUAUAAACUCAUUAAGCAUGAUCAUUAUGUAUUAUUAAAUCAUCAAGCAUGAUUUCAUUAAACAUGAAGCAUUUUUAAUCACAUUCAAAAAUCAUCAAUUUAGAUACACAUUAUUUUUUCUUAAAAACAUACAUAGGAUUAAUCAUUAAAUUUACAUUUUAUUGUAUUUUCAUGAAACAUGCAAUUAUCAUUAUCAUUUUCAAAAUUAGCUAAAAAAAGAAAAGCAUGAUCACCUUUUAUUUAUAUUUUUAUUUAUUUCUAAAUUUAAAGAUAACUCAUGAAAAGCAUCAUGUAAUUUCGAAAUAAAGUAAAGGGUUUUUGGUUACCUCAUCAUCGAAAAUCGUGAAGGAGUAGUUCGUCACCUCGCCUUUGUUGGUUUACUCUUCGUCUUCGGAGGUACUCGUUUCAUCCCAAAGUGAUUUCUUCUUCUUCUUUGGCAACCUCUUCUUUUUAAGUUCAUUUUUAAUUUUCGAUUCUUAUUUUAUGAACUUUUUAAAUUUUAAUAUUAAGAGUUUAAGAUCAUCAUUAUCACCAUCACUUGAGUUUUCUCUCAAGUGGUCUUCUUUUGGUCUAACUAUCAAAUCCUUCCUGUUCUUUGGAAGGUUGUUCUCAAAUUCGUCAUGUGCCACAUUGGUCAUUUCGUAGGUCAUCAAAGACCCGAUAAGUUCUUCGAUCAGAAAAUAGUUUAAGUUCUUUGAUUCUUGUAUUGCCAUUAUUUUCAAAUCCCAAUUUUUAGAAAGUGAUCGUAAAACUUUAUUCACAAGUUCAAGAUUCGAAAAACUUUUACCAAGAGAUUUUAGACUAUUGAUAACAUCCGUAAAACAGGUGUACAGGUCUCCAACAGUCUCGUUUGGCUUCAUCCGAAAAAGUUCAAAAUCAUGUAUCAAAAUAUUUAUCUUAGAAUCUUUUAUUCUACUAGUGCCUUUGUGUGUGAUUUCAAAGUGUGCCAAAUAUCGAAAGUCGUUUCACAUAUAGAAACCCGAUUGAAUUCGUUUUUGUCUAAGGCGCAAAAUAGAGCAUUCAUAACUCUAGCAUUUAAAGAAAAAGUCUUAUUCUCCAAAUCAUUCCAAUCGUUCAUUGGAAGAGAAGACCUUUGAAAUAUGUUUUCGACCAUAUUCUAUAAAUUUAAAUAAAUAAAAAGUAAGAAAACUCUUAUUCGAGUUUUUCAAUAUGUGUAGUCCGUCCCAUUGAACAUGGGAGGACAAAAGAUAGACAAGCCCUCUUGAAAGCCGAAAAGAGCCAUUUCUCUUGGGUGUUAAACCAAAUGAGAAAUAACGUGGCUCUAAUACCAACUGUUAGGAACGAGUCGGCACUAAGAAGGAGGGUGAAUUAGUGCAGUGGUAAAAACGUUGGCUUUAAAAAUAUUUCGUUUGAUGAAAACCGAUAUCAUAAAGAUACUUGACUGGAAAGCGUAUGGAAGCGUAAUGAAUAAGUAAAGCAAUUUGCAGUAUAUAAAUGGCAACAAUAUAAAUGUAAACCAGAGAAUAACACGCCAAUUUUAUAGUGGUUCUGUCGUCCAACCUACAUCCACUCCCGAUACCUCCUCCAAUAAGGUCAUCGGCUUCCACUAUUGAUCUUUCUUGAAGGGCAAAGAUCAAUCACCCCUUUAUAGAACUUUCACAAGUGGCUCACUCUCAUUUUACAAACUUUCACACUUAGAAAUGAUAAAGGUGAACUCUCAACCUUUGCAAGCUAUUUUACUAUAGUAUGGGAUCAGUUCUUAUCACUUCUCUUUCUUUACCAGCUGAGAAGUAAGGGGUAUUUAUAGCCCUUAAUUGGCUUCAAAAUUGGAGCAAAAAAAGGUCUCAUCC